Molecule: long non-coding RNA, 211 nt
Filed under: Elaeis guineensis (African oil palm)
Lineage: Eukaryota; Viridiplantae; Streptophyta; Magnoliopsida; Arecales; Arecaceae
Description: long non-coding RNA (EGUI_LNC080276)
Source: RNAcentral
CCCGAAAAGAUAAAACCCAUAGGAUGCAAGUAGAUUUUCAAAAGGAAAAGAGGAGCAGAUGGAAAGGUAGAUGUUAGAUGUAUAUCCUAGAAGCCAAUAUGGCUGACACAUUGUAAUAUAUCUAGAGCAUAAUUUUAUACUUAAUAUAUUGAUAUGAUCAAUAAAAGAGGCAAGUUCUUUUUCAUUCAAAUAUAAUAUGUCCUUGAAUCAU